RNAcentral lists this ribosomal RNA (255 nucleotides) under uncultured bacterium. Its description in RNAcentral is "partial 16S ribosomal RNA". It matches the Rfam family "Bacterial small subunit ribosomal RNA", at positions 524 to 776 of the family's 1533-position model. The record is from RNAcentral.
UACGUAGGGGGCAAGCGUUGUCCGGAUUUAUUGGGCGUAAAGAGCGUGUAGGCGGCCAGGUAGGUCCGUUGUGAAAACUCGAGGCUCAACCUCGAGACGUCGAUGGAAACCAUCUGGCUAGAGUCCGGAAGAGGAGAGUGGAAUUCCUGGUGUAGCGGUGAAAUGCGCAGAUAUCAGGAAGAACACCGGUGGCGAAGGCGGCCUGCUGGGCAGUUUAGCUGACACUGAGGCGCGACAGCGUGGGGAGCAAACAGG